UAGCUCAGUCGGUAGAGCAGAGGACUGAAAAUCCUCGUGUCGCUGGUUCGAUUCCUGC
This 58-nucleotide transfer RNA is filed under the name Clostridium argentinense. RNAcentral's name for it is "tRNA-Phe". It matches the Rfam family "tRNA", at positions 8 to 63 of the family's 71-position model. Rfam says of the family: Transfer RNA (tRNA) molecules are approximately 80 nucleotides in length. Their secondary structure includes four short double-helical elements and three loops (D, anti-codon, and T loops). Further hydrogen bonds mediate the characteristic L-shaped molecular structure. tRNAs have two regions of fundamental functional importance: the anti-codon, which is responsible for specific mRNA codon recognition, and the 3' end, to which the tRNAs corresponding amino acid is attached (by aminoacyl-tRNA synthetases). tRNAs cope with the degeneracy of the genetic code in two manners: having more than one tRNA (with a specific anti-codon) for a particular amino acid; and 'wobble' base-pairing, i.e. permitting non-standard base-pairing at the 3rd anti-codon position. Lineage: Bacteria; Bacillati; Bacillota; Clostridia; Eubacteriales; Clostridiaceae. The record is from RNAcentral.